RNAcentral lists this ribosomal RNA (2896 nucleotides) under Chromobacterium phragmitis. RNAcentral's name for it is "23S ribosomal RNA". It matches the Rfam family "Bacterial large subunit ribosomal RNA". The record is from RNAcentral. Lineage: Bacteria; Pseudomonadati; Pseudomonadota; Betaproteobacteria; Neisseriales; Chromobacteriaceae.
AUAGGGUCAAGCGACUAAGUGCAUCUGGUGGAUGCCUUGGCGAUCAUAGGCGAUGAAGGACGUGUAAGCCUGCGAAAAGCGCGGGGGAGCUGGCAAUAGAGCUUUGAUCCCGCGAUGUCCGAAUGGGGAAACCCCUCCGCAAGGAGAUCCCUGACUGAAUCCAUAGGUCAGAGGAGGCGAACUCAGCGAACUGAAACAUCUAAGUAGCUGAAGGAAAAGAAAUCAACCGAGAUUCCGUAAGUAGUGGCGAGCGAACGCGGAACAGCCUGACUGUGUUAUGAGUUGCGUUAGUGGAAGGUUCAUGGAAAGGACCGCCAUAGUGGGUGAUAGCCCCGUACACGAAAACGCAUCGCAAGAACUAGGCAGUCGACAAGUAGGGCGGGACACGAGAAAUCCUGUCUGAAGAUGGGGGGACCAUCCUCCAAGGCUAAAUACUCAUGAUCGACCGAUAGUGAACCAGUACCGUGAGGGAAAGGCGAAAAGAACCCCGGGAGGGGAGUGAAAUAGAACCUGAAACCGGAUGCAUACAAACAGUGGGAGCGGACUUGUUCCGUGACUGCGUACCUUUUGUAUAAUGGGUCAGCGACUUACGUUCAGUAGCAAGCUUAACCGAAUAGGGGAGGCGUAGGGAAACCGAGUCCGAAUAGGGCGUCUUAGUUGCUGGGCGUAGACCCGAAACCGAGUGAUCUAUCCAUGGCCAGGAUGAAGGUGCGGUAACACGCACUGGAGGUCCGAACCCACUAGUGUUGCAAAACUAGGGGAUGAGCUGUGGAUAGGGGUGAAAGGCUAAACAAACUCGGAGAUAGCUGGUUCUCCCCGAAAACUAUUUAGGUAGUGCGUCAAGUAUCACUUCCGGGGGUAAAGCACUGUUAUGGCUAGGGGGUCAUUGCGAUUUACCAAACCAUGGCAAACUCUGAAUACCGGAAAGUGCGAGCUUGGCAGACAGACAGUGGGUGCUAACGUCCAUUGUCAAGAGGGAAACAACCCAGACCGCCAGCUAAGGUCCCAAAUGAUCAGUUAAGUGGUAAACGAAGUGGGAAGGCCUAGACAGCCAGGAUGUUGGCUUAGAAGCAGCCAUCAUUUAAAGAAAGCGUAAUAGCUCACUGGUCGAGUCGUCCUGCGCGGAAGAUGUAACGGGGCUCAAACUGAUAACCGAAGCUGCGGAUGCACAGUUUACUGUGCGUGGUAGGGGAGCGUUCUGUAGGUCUGUGAAGGUGUCUCGUAAGGGAUGCUGGAGAUAUCAGAAGUGCGAAUGCUGACAUGAGUAGCGAUAAAGCGGGUGAAAAGCCCGCUCGCCGAAAGCCCAAGGUUUCCUACGCAACGUUCAUCGGCGUAGGGUGAGUCGGCCCCUAAGGCGAGGCUGAAAAGCGUAGUCGAUGGGAAACGGGUUAAAAUUCCCGUACUUUUGUGUAGUGCGAUGUGGGGACGGAGAAGGUUAGGUCAUCAGACUGUUGGAAUAGUCUGUUUAAGCCGGUAGGCGUGAAGGGUAGGCAAAUCCGCUCUUCUUUAACGCCGAGAAGUGAUGACGAGGGUCUACGGACCUGAAGUGACUGAUACCACGCUUCCAGGAAAAGCCACUAAGCUUCAGCUACACAAGAACCGUACCGCAAACCGACACAGGUGGGCAGGAUGAGAAUUCUAAGGCGCUUGAGAGAACUCAGGAGAAGGAACUCGGCAAAUUGAUACCGUAACUUCGGGAGAAGGUAUGCCUGUUGGGGUGUAGUCCCUUGCGGAUGAAGCUUUGACAGGUCGCAGAGAAUCGGUGGCUGCGACUGUUUAACAAAAACACAGCACUGUGCCAACACGAAAGUGGACGUAUACGGUGUGACGCCUGCCCGGUGCCGGAAGGUUAAGUGAUGGGGUGCAAGCUCUUGAUCGAAGCCCCGGUAAACGGCGGCCGUAACUAUAACGGUCCUAAGGUAGCGAAAUUCCUUGUCGGGUAAGUUCCGACCCGCACGAAUGGCGUAACGAUGGCCACACUGUCUCCUCCUGAGACUCAGCGAAGUUGAAGUGUUUGUGAAGAUGCAAUCUCCCCGCUGCUAGACGGAAAGACCCCGUGAACCUUUACUGUAGCUUUGCAUUGGACUUUGAACAGACUUGUGUAGGAUAGGUGGGAGGCUUUGAAGCCAGGACGCUAGUUCUGGUGGAGCCGUCCUUGAAAUACCACCCUGGUGUGUUUGAGGUUCUAACCUUGGUCCGUGAUCCGGAUUGGGGACAGUGCAUGGUAGGCAGUUUGACUGGGGCGGUCUCCUCCCAAAGUGUAACGGAGGAGUUCGAAGGUUACCUAGGUACGGUCGGAAAUCGUGCUGAUAGUGCAAUGGCAAAAGGUAGCUUAACUGCGAGACCGACAAGUCGAGCAGGUGCGAAAGCAGGACAUAGUGAUCCGGUGGUUCUGAAUGGAAGGGCCAUCGCUCAACGGAUAAAAGGUACUCCGGGGAUAACAGGCUGAUACCGCCCAAGAGUUCACAUCGACGGCGGUGUUUGGCACCUCGAUGUCGGCUCAUCACAUCCUGGGGCUGUAGCCGGUCCCAAGGGUAUGGCUGUUCGCCAUUUAAAGUGGUACGUGAGCUGGGUUCAAAACGUCGUGAGACAGUUUGGUCCCUAUCUGCAGUGGGCGUUGGAAGUUUGACGGGGGCUGCUCCUAGUACGAGAGGACCGGAGUGGACGAACCUCUGGUGUACCGGUUGUGACGCCAGUCGCAUUGCCGGGUAGCUAAGUUCGGAAGAGAUAACCGCUGAAAGCAUCUAAGCGGGAAACUUGCCUGAAGAUGAGACUUCCCUGGAGGCUUGACCUCCCUGAAGAGUCGUUCGAGACCAGGACGUUGAUAGGUCGGGUGUGGAAGCGCUGUGAGGCGUGAAGCUAACCGAUACUAAUUGCUCGUGAGGCUUGAUCCUAU